RNAcentral lists this ribosomal RNA (460 nucleotides) under uncultured bacterium. RNAcentral describes it as "partial 16S ribosomal RNA". It matches the Rfam family "Bacterial small subunit ribosomal RNA", at positions 338 to 795 of the family's 1533-position model. The record is from RNAcentral.
CCUACGGGCGGCAGCAGUGAGGAAUAUUGGUCAAUGGGCGCAAGCCUGAACCAGCCAAGUAGCGUGAAGGAUGACUGCCCUACGGGUUGUAAACUUCUUUUAUGAGGGAAUAAAGUGAGGCACGUGUGCCUUUUUGUAUGUACUUUAUGAAUAAGGAUCGGCUAACUCCGUGCCAGCAGCCGCGGUAAUACGGAGGAUCCGAGCGUUAUCCGGAUUUAUUGGGUGUAAAGGGAGCGUAGGUGGGUUGUUAAGUCAGUUGGGAAAGUUUGCGGCUUAACCGUAAAAGUGCAAUUGAUACUGGCAGGCUGGAGUACAGUAGAGGUAGGCGGAAUUCGUGGUGUAGCGGUGAAAUGCUUAGAUAUCACGAAGAACUCCGAUUGCGAAGGCAGCCUACUAAACGGCCACUGACACUGAGGCUCGAAAGUGUGGGUAUCAAACAGGAUUAGAUACCCCUGUAGUC